RNAcentral lists this ribosomal RNA (410 nucleotides) under uncultured bacterium. RNAcentral describes it as "bacterial SSU rRNA". It matches the Rfam family "Bacterial small subunit ribosomal RNA", at positions 8 to 422 of the family's 1533-position model. The record is from RNAcentral.
AGAGUUUGAUCCUGGCUCAGAUUGAACGCUGGCGGCAUGCCUUACACAUGCAAGUCGAACGGCGGCGCGGGGCAACCUGGCGGCGAGUGGCGAACGGGUGAGUAAUAUAUCGGAACGUACCCUGGAGUGGGGGAUAACGUAGCGAAAGUUACGCUAAUACCGCAUACGAUCUAAGGAUGAAAGUGGGGGAUCGCAAGACCUCAUGCUCCUGGAGCGGCCGAUAUCUGAUUAGCUAGUUGGCGGGGUAAAAGCCCACCAAGGCAACGAUCAGUAGCUGGUCUGAGAGGACGACCAGCCACACUGGAACUGAGACACGGUCCAGACUCCUACGGGAGGCAGCAGUGGGAAAUUUUGGACAAUGGGCGCAAGCCUGAUCCAGCAAUGCCGCGUGAGUGAAGAAGGCCUUCGGG